RNAcentral lists this ribosomal RNA (810 nucleotides) under Triticum aestivum (bread wheat). Its description in RNAcentral is "partial small subunit ribosomal RNA". Lineage: Eukaryota; Viridiplantae; Streptophyta; Magnoliopsida; Poales; Poaceae. The record is from RNAcentral.
AUGGUUCUAGAGAGGACCAAAGCUGGGGUAUUGAGUCCAGGAGUGUCCAAAGAAGUGUCUGAACUAACGGGUAUACCUCAGCGGACAGUGCAAAACUGGUGGAAGAAAUGUAAGGAAGCUGGUGGAAUACACGCACUAGAAAACAAACGGGCAAAAAACUGUGGCCGCAAGAGGAUAGAAUUCGAUCCGGAGGCUAUCAAACAAGUGGAUUUGAGGAAAAGAACAACUCUUAAAGAUUUGGCAAAUGAGUUGCACAUGGCGAAGACGACACUAUGGCGUCGUUUGAAGGAGGGCCUGUUGAGGCGUCACACAAAUGCCAUCAAAUCGACAUUGACGGAUGAAAACAAGGUAGGACGGGUAAGGUUUUGCUUGUCAAUGUUUGAUGAGCAUACUCUUCCUCAGGAUCCCAAAUUCAAAGAGAUGUACAACGUCAUUCACAUUGAAGAGAAAUGGUUCUACCGUUCCCGCGGUAGCCAGAAUUACUAUUUGGCGAACGAUGAAGAAGAUCCAUACCGUAGCACGCAAAGCAAAAAUUUCAUUGAGAAGGUGAUGUUUUUGGCCGCGGUCGCUCGGCCACGCUUUGAUGCGAAUGGCACGAUGAUUUUUGAUGGAAAACUUGGGAUUUGGCCCUUCACAUACCAAGAAGCGGCAAAGAGAAAAAGCAAGAACAGAGAUGUUGGAACCAUGGUCACCAAAGUACUCCCUGCGGUUACUCAAAAUGUAGUCUGGGAGUACAUGAUUAAUUUUCUUAUUCCCGCGAUAAGGGCGAGAUGGCCUGCGGCUGAGCGUGGCAUGCCAAUAUAUGUAUAG